Molecule: transfer RNA, 146 nt
Filed under: Anopheles minimus
Lineage: Eukaryota; Metazoa; Arthropoda; Insecta; Diptera; Culicidae
Description: tRNA tRNA-Tyr
Rfam family: tRNA
About the family: Transfer RNA (tRNA) molecules are approximately 80 nucleotides in length.
Source: RNAcentral
CCUUCGAUAGCUCAGUUGGUAGAGCGGUGGACUGUAGAUAGUAAGGAGGGAGAGGAGGCCUUCUGCAGAAUUGCAUCCAAGAUCACCCCUCCAGUCAAAAUAUAGUAGUAAUCCAUAGGUCACUGGUUCAAAUCCGGUUCGAAGGA